Molecule: ribosomal RNA, 301 nt
Filed under: uncultured bacterium
Lineage: Bacteria
Description: partial 16S ribosomal RNA
Rfam family: Bacterial small subunit ribosomal RNA
Source: RNAcentral
CAGUAGCCACGGGAAUACGUAGGUGGCAAGCGUUGUCCGGAAUUAUUGGGCGUAAAGCGCGCGUAGGUGGUUUAAUAAGUCUGAUGUGAAAGCCCCCGGCUCAACCGGGGAGGGUCAUUGGAAACUGGGAAACUUGAGUGCAGAAGAGGAGAGUGGAAUUCCACGUGUAGCGGUGAAAUGCGUAGAGAUGUGGAGGAACACCAGUGGCGAAGGCGACUCUCUGGUCUGUAACUGACGCUGAGGAGCGAAAGCGUGGGGAGCGAACAGGAUUAGAUACCCGAGUAGUCCCUGUCUCUUAUAC